Molecule: non-coding RNA, 4285 nt
Organism: Petromyzon marinus (sea lamprey)
Lineage: Eukaryota; Metazoa; Chordata; Hyperoartia; Petromyzontiformes; Petromyzontidae
Source: RefSeq, a predicted model, not a curated record
GGGAGCGCGAGAGAGAGAGAGAGAGGGGAGCGCGCACCGGCAGGUCUUCGAAAUUCGCGCAAUCGCCGUUGUGAUCAACGAUGAUGUCGGCACGCCACGUGUGUUUGUCAUUAUGCGAUGCUGACAGUGAUGAUGAUGAUUACGUUGGUGUCGUGCACACAUUUUGGACAAUCAUCCGAAUACCCGCGCGUACGAUGUAACGUAUGCAGUACAUUUGCCGUUGCGUGUGUGCGUGCGUAAGCGCAGUAGCUCUGUUGCGAUAUAUACACAACAUAAAUUACGUGCGACCUGCGCUCUGCUAAUUGGAGAGCUGAAUAUUUGGCUCGGCGCAGCGAGGCGCAAUUUUUCUGCCGGUGUGACCGCAAGUUCAUCCGUUGCGUGCGGCGUGACUCGCCCAGCUUCGUGUCUUUAACGGCGCUGCUGCGUCCACCACCGCCGCCGUCACCACCGUCACCACCGCCACCGUCACCACCGUCAUCACCGCCACGACCGCCGCCGUCGCUGUCGCCGCCACCGCCAUCAACAUCGUCGUCGUCGGGAUCGGAAGGAAGAUUGAAGAUCCAGCAUCGCGCACAAGCAAGGGACGAGACGAAUUGACGCACCUUAAAAUACUCAAGCCUUCGCAAAACAAAUUAAUUUAAAAGUCCUAGAUUAAUGAGUGACGGGGGGGGGGGGGUUAUCUGCUUUUGUUUAUCCGAAGAGCGGACAAGUCCACGAGAUGGAUCGUGACAUCGCAUGGUCGUGAGAAAGACUGCGGCGAAUUGGGAGAUGCUUUCAUCCAGCAGUGGAUUGACCGUUGCUGAUAAUGUUGACGAUGAUAAUUCCACAAGCUGGCAAAGAGGCCGUGGGGGGGGGGGGGUUAUUUUGUCACCAAGCGGCGGUUCCACGACUUCCACCCCGGCAUACAUCGACUCGUCUCUUAUUGCCGGACCCUCUUUGUCGUUGUGCGUGAAUUGAGGUCCUGCAGGCGGACGAUGAGCGCGCCUAUUCAAAGUCGUAAAUGUUGCAGCCACUGUCGACAACAAUGCAAUAGCAUGCACACAGAUGCGUGUACAAUGGUAUUGCAUUGUUAGCCGUCUUAUAAUAAAAAUAACGAAUUGUAACCAAAGACAGUUACCAAAAGCAUCACACUCAACGUUGCACGUGGUGGCCAAGAGGGGGAAAUUAGGCAGCUUACAAAAAACGAAACAUGUUCUCUCUGGCAAGGUAGCUCGCUAUCUCUAACAUUCGCACCCCCGAUUAGCACGGUUGGCUACGCACGGUGCCAAAGAGGCUAACACACAAACUCGGCUAUGUAUCGGGUAGCUGCGUGACACCCGUUUGAAGCUCCCUUCAUCGUCGUCAAGAAGUCAUGGUCAAUCCGCUGCUGGAUGAAGUCCUACCCGAGUGUACUUGUAGACACAGACACCCCCCGCACUAAUGUGUUUGUGUUGUUAUCGCGACAUCGCUGCGCGUCGCUCUUGCCCCGCGGCGCCUCCUCUUCAUUCGCGUCGCGAGAGGAGCCACGCCUGGCCACAGGGGGAGGGAAGCGCAGUCGCGCUGGACAGCUCUCGGCGUUGUUCCGAACGAUGUCUCCGAACUUUCUCUCUCUCUCUCUGUCUGUGUCUGUCUCACGGCCUCUGCAGGUGCAACCCGAGCGCACGUCGCAGAGCCUUGCACGCAAAUCGCACGCGAGAUUCGCGUCUUUCAAUUGCGCUCCAAUCGUGGCGAGUCUCACUGGGGGCCGGGGUGGAGACUGGGGCUUGGGUUGGCAGCACGGUCCAUCAAUCGAGGGGGGGGGGGGGGGUGGUUAGCAGGCACAGACCCAGAGAGAAAAACGUCGUUUUGAUAGGGACGGACAAAACGAUGACCAACGUUUACCCGCCUUCCAUACCGAGCCGUGCUAAGGUCACACAGCAAGCAAGCGAAGGGGUGUUUCUCUCCCGUGCUGUGUGUAUACUGUCUCGCGUGACAGUAGUGGCCUCAGCGUCUGCAAAGGGGGCUCCCAUUAAUGCCCUCGAUGCGUAGUCAGAAGGAAGGAUGAGCAAGAGGGAUUGCUGCCUGGACUCCGAACGCGUUUCCUUCCCACUCAUCCUCUCUCCCCUACCUACUCGGCAGGCCUCCCCCUCCAUGCCCUUCUCCACACGCCGGGUGCCGACUGCCGGAACCCCGACACGGACGAGCUCCGGGCCUCGCCGUUUUGUUUUCAGGUCGCGGUUGUCGAGUACGUGCAGACCCAGUACGCCAUCACGGCCAGCGACACACGCCACCACUGAAGGUGCAAUAGAUGCGGCAAUGCGUGUGUUGAGCUGGGGAAGAUGAUACGAAGUUGGUGACGAUGGGGGGGAGGGGGGGGUUUAUAAAGGCGAACAAAUGCGAGGAAAAUAACAGAGAGAGAGAGAAGUGUUGUGACCCAAAUUGAAAACUCAUUUCUUUCGGACUGAUGUUUGUGUACAGUUUGUUGUCCUUCCCCCGCACCUCCGAAUUAGCACGGUUGGCUAUGUACGGUGCGAAAGAAGUUCUACAUGUACACAUGCGACCUCGUGUGGCGCGUAGACACUGUGGAUGAGCCGAAACAAUUCCUCCACAUGGGAAGAUCACGUUGAACGCGAACGAGGGUAGCAGCGACAGACGAGUGGACAGAGAGUCGACUGACCGCCGGGCAGCUGUUGACCGGAGUGAAUCGGCGAGUGCAGAGUCAUCACCCUACUGCUUUACGUUGUACGCAUGCAUGUGUGCAUGUUGACGUCUUUCGCACCGUGCGUAGUCAACCGUGCUCAUCGGAGGUGCCAGAAAACCUGAUCGUGGCAGCCUGCCCCAUUGAGAAAGCCCUCUCCCCCCUAAUGAGGCAACACGUGUGCACCUCACGCACGAUUUGGAACAUAAUGGAUACGCCACCGUCGAAAUCCAAUAUCCCUUUUCGCGUAUUAGAGAACGAGCCGCAGUUUCGUGAGCCGCGUCCUCCUCGACGUCACAACGCUGAGGAGAGAACGUCUCUCGAUGUGUCACGAUGUCACUGCAGCGAUGUGUCACGAUGUCACUGCAGCGAUGUGUCACGAUGUCACUGCAGCGAUGUGUCACGAUGUCACUGCAGCGAUGUGUCACGAUGUCACUGCAGCGAUGUGUCACGAAGCGGCCGAGGGUUCCUUUCAAGUUUGCGUUACCUUAUCAAGGAAGUCUUGAGACUGGUGUGUCGAUCAGCCUCCACCAUGCGGCCCCACCAUGUGUAGUUACACGAUUAAGAGCGGUUUUGUCUUGGGAGUUGGGUCUCCCUCGAAGCAACAAACACACGUGGACAUUGCGGCCUUUGCAUAAUUUGAUUGAAUUAGUUCAGGGAUAUUGUGCGUCUAUGUGUGUAUAUGUGGCUUGAUUGCAGACAAUUCGACCUGAGCAUUUGCAUAUGCUUCAUUAACCGAGGUGCACGCGAUGUGCAUUCCAAGUUAACGUAACGCAUGACACAGGGAGAUGUCGGGUCGGUAUGCUGGUUAAAAAAUAAAAUAACAUUGCACAUCCCAUGAAAGUUACGAAUACUGGACUGUAACCGUCAGUCAAGGCAACAUUUUCAAAAAUCCGUAAUUAUUAAUAUUGUUAAAUAAACGCACCAUACCAUUGGUACAGUACAAUAUUAUUGGCGAGUAUCAUUUCAACAAUAAUAACGAAACCCGCACCUUUCUAUCUUUACAAAAUCACAUGCACACAGAUUACUAAAAGAUGCAAAUAUUUAUUUUACAUUAAAAACAGAAGCAUCUACACUAAACCAUCGCUUGCAUCUAUAACCAUACAUGUCGAAUGCGCACUUAUUUUUUACAAAAAUUGACAUGGGUUUAUGGGAGGGGGGGACAGGAAGAACACGACACAAAACACAAAGAUCAGCAAAAAAAACUUGUCCAUGGUCUAAUGCCCCACACACAUCGUCGACCAAUGAGUAAAUACAAAAAUAAUAUGCAUUGUAUUCCGAUGGAGAAACAAAAACAAAAAGCUCAACUAAGUCCAGACAACAGAACGAUGUUGGUUGUUAGUGUGUGACAUCUGUGGUUUUUUUUGUUUUGCCGAGAUAUUUACAAGCGCCACGUGGGGUCAAACGCACAACAACUUUAGCAGGGCGGCCCCAAACGGUGACUCGCGCGACAAGUGGAGGCCCUGACCUGCGCGCCAAGAAUUUGAACUACGGAUUAAAAAAAAAGCGGUCGCAACAAUAACCAGACCUCGCUGGAACAUUGACGGCCUAAACACUCAACAGGAAGACAUGCCAUGCCAGCAGCGGAAUAGUAUUAAGGAAGAAUGCGAAUUGUAAUUACAACCAAAG